Small nuclear RNA from Erinaceus europaeus (western European hedgehog), 101 nucleotides. The record is from Ensembl. Lineage: Eukaryota; Metazoa; Chordata; Mammalia; Eulipotyphla; Erinaceidae.
AUGCUCAUUCGGCAGGACAUACACUAAAAAUUGGAAUGAUGCAGAGAAAAUUAGCAUGGCCCCUGCAUAAGGAUAAAAUGCAAAGGACUUUUCAAAGUUAA